CCUACGGGAGGCAGCAGUGGGGAAUAUUGGACAAUGGGGGCAACCCUGAUCCAGCCAUGCCGCGUGUGUGAAGAAGGCCCUCGGGUUGUAAAGCACUUUCAGUGAGGAAGAACGCCUGGUGGUUAAUACCCAUCAGGGAAGACAUCACUCACAGAAGAAGCACCGGCUAACUCCGUGCCAGCAGCCGCGGUAAUACGGAGGGUGCGAGCGUUAAUCGGAAUUACUGGGCGUAAAGCGCGCGUAGGUGGCUUGAUAAGCCGGUUGUGAAAGCCCCGGGCUCAACCUGGGAACGGCAUCCGGAACUGUCAAGCUAGAGUGCAGGAGAGGAAGGUAGAAUUCCCGGUGUAGCGGUGAAAUGCGUAGAGAUCGGGAGGAAUACCAGUGGCGAAGGCGGCCUUCUGGACUGACACUGACACUGAGGUGCGAAAGCGUGGGUAGCAAACAGGAUUAGAUACCCUUGUAGUC
This 465-nucleotide ribosomal RNA is filed under the name Vreelandella stevensii. RNAcentral's name for it is "partial 16S ribosomal RNA". It matches the Rfam family "Bacterial small subunit ribosomal RNA", at positions 338 to 795 of the family's 1533-position model. The record is from RNAcentral. Lineage: Bacteria; Pseudomonadati; Pseudomonadota; Gammaproteobacteria; Oceanospirillales; Halomonadaceae.